UCUGUUUGAAUCCUGGCGGAGGCCACUGCUAUCGGAGUUCGAUUAAGCCAUGCGAGUCGAGAGGUGCAAGACCUCGGCAUACUGCUCAGUAACACGUGGACAACCUACCCUAUGGAGGGGGAUAACCCCGGGAAACUGGGGAUAAUACCCCAUAGACUAUAGAUGCUGGAAUGCUUUGUAGUUGAAAGGUCCGCCGCCAUAGGAUGGGUCUGCGGCCGAUUAGGUUGUUGUUGGGGUAACGGCCCAACAAGCCUGUAAUCGGUACGGGUUGUGGGAGCAAGAGCCCGGAGAUGGAUUCUGAGACACGAAUCCAGGCCCUACGGGGCGCAGCAGGCGCGAAAACUUUACAAUGCGGGAAACCGUGAUAAGGGAACUCCGAGUGCCCGUAAAAUCGGGCUGUCCAUCUGUUUAAAUAACAGGUGAAGAAAGGGCCGGGCAAGACCGGUGCCAGCCGCCGCGGUAAUACCGGCGGCUCGAGUGGUGGCCACUAUUACUGGGCUUAAAGCGUUCGUAGCUGGUCUGUUAAGUCUCUGGGGAAACCUACUGGCUUAACCAAUAGGCGUCUCAGGGAUACUGGCAGACUAGGGACCGGGAGAGGUGAGAGGUACUCCAGGGGUAGGAGUGAAAUCCUGUAAUCCUUGGGGGACCACCUGUGGCGAAGGCGUCUCACCAGAACGGCUCCGACAGUGAGGGACGAAAGCUGGGGGAGCAAACCGGAUUAGAUACCCGGGUAGUCCCAGCCGUAAACGAUGCGCGUUAGGUGUAUCGGUGACCACGAGUCACCGAGGUGCCGAAGAGAAAUCGUGAAACGUGCCGCCUGGGAAGUACGGUCGCAAGGCUGAAACUUAAAGGAAUUGGCGGGGGAGCACCACAACAGGUGGAGCCUGCGGUUUAAUCGGACUCAACGCCGGAAAUCUCACCGGAUAAGACAGCUGGAUGAUAGUCGGGCUGAAGACUCUACUUGACUAGCUGAGAGGAGGUGCAUGGCCGUCGUCAGUUCGUACUGUGAAGCAUCCUGUUAAGUCAGGCAACGAGCGAGACCCA
RNAcentral lists this ribosomal RNA (1044 nucleotides) under uncultured archaeon. RNAcentral describes it as "bacterial SSU rRNA". It matches the Rfam family "Archaeal small subunit ribosomal RNA", at positions 1 to 1054 of the family's 1478-position model. The record is from RNAcentral.